This 468-nucleotide ribosomal RNA is filed under the name uncultured bacterium. RNAcentral describes it as "partial 16S ribosomal RNA". It matches the Rfam family "Bacterial small subunit ribosomal RNA", at positions 28 to 507 of the family's 1533-position model. The record is from RNAcentral.
GACGAACGCUGGCGGCGUGCUUAACACAUGCAAGUCGAACGGAAAGGCCCUGCUUUUGUGGGGUGCUCGAGUGGCGAACGGGUGAGUGACACGUGAGUAACCUGCCCUCGACUUUGGGAUAACUUCAGGAAACUGGGGCUAAUACCGGAUAGGAGCUCCUGCUGCAUGGUGGGGGUUGGAAAGUUUCGGCGGUUGGGGAUGGACUCGCGGCUUAUCAGCUUGUUGGUGGGGUAGUGGCUUACCAAGGCUUUGACGGGUAGCCGGCCUGAGAGGGUGACCGGCCACAUUGGGACUGAGAUACGGCCCAGACUCCUACGGGAGGCAGCAGUGGGGAAUAUUGCACAAUGGGCGGAAGCCUGAUGCAGCAACGCCGCGUGCGGGAUGACGGCCUUCGGGUUGUAAACCGCUUUCGCCUGUGACGAAGCGUGAGUGACGGUAAUGGGUAAAGAAGCACCGGCUAACUACGUG